CUUCAAUGUUUAUAUAAGUCUCCAUGUUGAUGUUUUACGAAAGCCAGUGGUAUCUUGAUGGGAGCACCAAAGUAGACCUUAUGCAAGCUUCCCUGUCUGUGUGGCAAGGAAUAGCUUUCAAGGACUUGGUGUAGGAGCCUCUUCUACUGACAGUUUUACAAGAAUGAGAACAUUGUAUGAUACCUGCUUUGAAAUCCCUUACUGCCGACUUAGGACCAUGGAGGAGGUGUUUCACCAUUAAUGAGAUUCCACAUGAAAGCACCUUGAUGGAAAACCCAAAGAAACGCAUUAUAGAAAAGACGAGGAGAAAAUGGUUGCUAGUCAUGCUGGCACCAUGACCUCUCCAGCGACACCAUUUCUCCAGCCACACAACACUAUGUGCUAAGGAAAAACCCUGAACUGGGGUUUAGA
This is a non-coding RNA of Phascolarctos cinereus (koala), 411 nucleotides long. The record is from RefSeq and is a predicted model, not a curated record. NCBI's taxonomy places the organism in Eukaryota, Metazoa, Chordata, Mammalia, Diprotodontia, Phascolarctidae.